RNAcentral lists this long non-coding RNA (634 nucleotides) under Vigna radiata. RNAcentral describes it as "long non-coding RNA (VRAD_LNC000990)". The record is from RNAcentral. Lineage: Eukaryota; Viridiplantae; Streptophyta; Magnoliopsida; Fabales; Fabaceae.
CAAGGAAGUCUUGAGGAGGAACUGCUUCAGUCUCCAAAUUUGAUCAAGCAGGGAGAUGUCCUCCACAGCUGGAUCUAAGAAGCAGUGAUUGUUGAUGAGCAGGUUCAGCUGGUGCCUAUUAAUCUUCAAACUAUCGGCACCUUUGUCUUCCACCAUGGGUGUGUGUUGAUCAAACUCGUGUGUACCUCCUGCAACAUGGUUAGUGCAAUGUGGUUCCAAAGAAAUAAUAUGCAGAGGUAUAACACCCAAUCCCAGUGUAAGAGGCUGAACCUCAGAUAUACCCUCAGAACAUGAAUCAAUCUCAAAUGUAGAAACAAUAUCAACAACAUGCUCAGAUACAUGUUCAGUGCAUGGAGAACAAACAUUUAGAUGUGAUAGCAAAAGGUGGUUCUCAUCAUGCAAGGAGGGAGAAUUAAAAAUAGGCUCAUCAACAACAUAAUCAUCAACAUACCCAUCAAUAGCAUAAUCAUCAACAAUAGAAUCAAUCUCAGGUAUGUUCACCUCCACUUCCUUGAAGAUAGGUAGAGUGGUAGGAGGUGAAAGUGGUCUACCUAUCUCGAAAGUGUUGCUCACAUCUGCCUGGUCCUCCAAUUCUUCAUCAGUCUCCUCAGGUGCAAGAGUAGGGACAUAGGAG